RNAcentral lists this ribosomal RNA (460 nucleotides) under uncultured bacterium. RNAcentral's name for it is "partial 16S ribosomal RNA". It matches the Rfam family "Bacterial small subunit ribosomal RNA", at positions 338 to 795 of the family's 1533-position model. The record is from RNAcentral.
CCUACGGUGCGCAGCAGUGAGGAAUAUUGGUCAAUGGGCGUAAGCCUGAACCAGCCAAGUCGCGUGAGGGAUGAAGGUUCUAUGGAUCGUACACCUCUUUUAUAAGGGAAUAAAGUGUGGGACGUGUCCUAUUUUGUAUGUACCUUAUGAAUAAGCAUCGGCUAACUCCGUGCCAGCAGCCGCGGUAAUACGGAGGAUACUAGCGUUAUCCGGAUUUAUUGGGUUUAAAGGGUGCGUAGGCGGGUUUUUAAGUCAGUGGUGAAAGUCUGGGGCUCAACCCUAAAAUUGCAGUUGAAACUGGGGGUCUUGAGUAUGUUGGAGGUAGGCGGAAUUCGUGGGGUAGCGGUGAAAUGCAUAGAUAUCACGAAGAACUCCGAUUGCGAAGGCAGCAUACCGGCGCCCAACUGACGCUGAAGCUCGAAAGCGUGGGUAUCGAACAGGAUUAGAUACCCUUGUAGUC